RNAcentral lists this long non-coding RNA (376 nucleotides) under Monodelphis domestica (gray short-tailed opossum). RNAcentral's name for it is "lncRNA (ENSMODG00000048108.1)". Lineage: Eukaryota; Metazoa; Chordata; Mammalia; Didelphimorphia; Didelphidae. The record is from RNAcentral.
AAAUUUUAUCCUCCUACAUUCUAAACUAUUUUUUUUUGUGUGUGUUCAUGCUUGCUUAGGAGGCUAUAACAAUAUUCCAGAUGAGAGAGGAACAGGAAAAAGAAAGAAAGAAGGAGAAGCAAAAAUAGAUUUCUGAUUGGAAGACAACAAGAAUAAGCCGAGAUUGAGGUACAGGAAAAUAGAACCAUGGUGUGCCUAGGAGACUGAAUGAACUACAUCAGUGAUCAGUCUGGGAAUUAAAAGCCAUGGGAAUUCUGGCAGAGUUCUAGAAUGGAGGGAGCAGAGCUGCAACAGAGCUGAAGAGAAGAGGACUUUGAUGAAGAAAAGUUAUUACAGCUUUCAAGACUACAGCCAAAGAGUCAAUCGCAAGAGGUAA